AAGUGGAUGGACUCCAGGGGAUGGAGAAUGGAAGGCAGCAGAUGUUUGUUGACUUCUUGCUCUAUAUCGGGCACUGUGCUAGAUACCAUACACGCCAUCAACAUUUAGGACAGUAUGACAAAGGAGAAUGAAAGCUGUCUCUUGUAGAUAGGAUAUUUUCAGCCGUCAUCACCAUGGACUCUUUGAAAUGUACUACUUCAGAAAAGCCACAGUGACUCCCUCUGGGCCUCACCCACCUGAGAUGACAUCACGACGCAAAUCUAGGACUUACGCUCUUCAUACGGAUGGAAUGGUUGGUUCACUUGGCUUUCAGAGUGCAGACAAGCCAUUCAGUGGAGGGCAUGCCUCAGCCUGCACUCUUCUGACUCAUGACAUGACUUCUCCAUGGAGAGCCAGGAUUUUUCUCAAGUGUAACAAUAUUAAUUAUCAAGUCACUUUAAAACA
This 444-nucleotide long non-coding RNA is filed under the name Homo sapiens (human). RNAcentral describes it as "HSALNT0386216". Lineage: Eukaryota; Metazoa; Chordata; Mammalia; Primates; Hominidae. The record is from RNAcentral.